GGAUAUCUUGGCUCCCACAACGAUGAAGAACGCAGCGAAAUGCGAUACGUCUUGCGACUUGCAGAAUCCAGUGAAUCAUCAAAACUUUGAACGCACCUUGCGCUUUUGGGUAUGCCCAAUCGCAUGCUUGUCGGAAGUG
RNAcentral lists this ribosomal RNA (139 nucleotides) under Goniomonas pacifica. RNAcentral describes it as "partial 5.8S ribosomal RNA". It matches the Rfam family "5.8S ribosomal RNA". Rfam says of the family: 5.8S ribosomal RNA (5.8S rRNA) is a component of the large subunit of the eukaryotic ribosome. It is transcribed by RNA polymerase I as part of the 45S precursor that also contains 18S and 28S rRNA. Lineage: Eukaryota; Cryptophyceae; Goniomonadida; Goniomonadaceae. The record is from RNAcentral.